This 754-nucleotide ribosomal RNA is filed under the name Salmonella enterica. RNAcentral describes it as "bacterial LSU rRNA". It matches the Rfam family "Bacterial large subunit ribosomal RNA", at positions 1918 to 2671 of the family's 2925-position model. RNAcentral also lists the same sequence under 1 other name. Lineage: Bacteria; Pseudomonadati; Pseudomonadota; Gammaproteobacteria; Enterobacterales; Enterobacteriaceae. The record is from RNAcentral.
CCCCGGUAAACGGCGGCCGUAACUAUAACGGUCCUAAGGUAGCGAAAUUCCUUGUCGGGUAAGUUCCGACCUGCACGAAUGGCGUAAUGAUGGCCAGGCUGUCUCCACCCGAGACUCAGUGAAAUUGAACUCGCUGUGAAGAUGCAGUGUACCCGCGGCAAGACGGAAAGACCCCGUGAACCUUUACUAUAGCUUGACACUGAACAUUGAGCCUUGAUGUGUAGGAUAGGUGGGAGGCUUUGAAGUGUGGACGCCAGUCUGCAUGGAGCCGACCUUGAAAUACCACCCUUUAAUGUUUGAUGUUCUAACGUGGACCCGUAAUCCGGGUUGCGGACAGUGUCUGGUGGGUAGUUUGACUGGGGCGGUCUCCUCCUAAAGAGUAACGGAGGAGCACGAAGGUUGGCUAAUCCUGGUCGGACAUCAGGAGGUUAGUGCAAUGGCAUAAGCCAGCUUGACUGCGAGCGUGACGGCGCGAGCAGGUGCGAAAGCAGGUCAUAGUGAUCCGGUGGUUCUGAAUGGAAGGGCCAUCGCUCAACGGAUAAAAGGUACUCCGGGGAUAACAGGCUGAUACCGCCCAAGAGUUCAUAUCGACGGCGGUGUUUGGCACCUCGAUGUCGGCUCAUCACAUCCUGGGGCUGAAGUAGGUCCCAAGGGUAUGGCUGUUCGCCAUUUAAAGUGGUACGCGAGCUGGGUUUAGAACGUCGUGAGACAGUUCGGUCCCUAUCUGCCGUGGGCGCUGGAGAACUGAGGGGGG